RNAcentral lists this small RNA (105 nucleotides) under Sphingobium wenxiniae LL03. RNAcentral's name for it is "Sphingobium sp. LL03 Repression of heat shock gene expression (ROSE) element". It matches the Rfam family "Repression of heat shock gene expression (ROSE) element". Rfam says of the family: This family represents a 5' UTR cis-regulatory element found in heat shock mRNAs and is known as the ROSE (repression of heat shock gene expression) element. The ROSE element is a negative regulator of heat shock gene expression. Lineage: Bacteria; Pseudomonadati; Pseudomonadota; Alphaproteobacteria; Sphingomonadales; Sphingobiaceae. The record is from Rfam by way of RNAcentral.
CCGGGUGCCAAUUCCGGGUCCGGCUGGACAUAGAGGGCGCCGGCUCUCCAUUCCCGGCGCUUCUCAUGCCCAAAUUGCUUCAGUUGGAGGAUUUGGAGAUGAGAA